UCUCUUGGAAGGUCAGAGAGGUCGAGUUUGGGAAAUAACAUCCCGACUCGAUUACGGCACCUCAUGAAGCCAACCUCAAAGCCAUAAUCGAACAUGCACCAAAUCCUGUCAUCAGAACCUCCAAAAGAAGAAUUAUCGAGCUCUCUGUCAGCCUGAGGUCUCGUCAGAACAAGCGAGUUUCCCCUCAGUAAGGGCUCAGCUAAAAUUUGCUGAUGACCAACCCUCGUCCUAGGUCCAGUUACAGCCAAAAAAUCUAUCAUCGCAAGAUGAUUCCCCUGCGGC
This 282-nucleotide long non-coding RNA is filed under the name Elaeis guineensis (African oil palm). RNAcentral describes it as "long non-coding RNA (EGUI_LNC048207)". The record is from RNAcentral. Lineage: Eukaryota; Viridiplantae; Streptophyta; Magnoliopsida; Arecales; Arecaceae.